ACCACCCCCAACCCCCUCCUCUGAAGAGGAGGGGGCUUUGACCUCGGUGCUCCCCCUCCUCUUCAGAGGAGGGGGUCGGGGGGUGG
This 86-nucleotide non-coding RNA is filed under the name Novosphingobium sp. SG754. The record is from RNAcentral. RNAcentral also lists the same sequence under 12 other names. Lineage: Bacteria; Pseudomonadati; Pseudomonadota; Alphaproteobacteria; Sphingomonadales; Sphingomonadaceae.